RNAcentral lists this ribosomal RNA (810 nucleotides) under Yoonia sp. Its description in RNAcentral is "bacterial SSU rRNA". It matches the Rfam family "Bacterial small subunit ribosomal RNA", at positions 22 to 878 of the family's 1533-position model. Lineage: Bacteria; Pseudomonadati; Pseudomonadota; Alphaproteobacteria; Rhodobacterales; Paracoccaceae. The record is from RNAcentral.
GCUCAGAACGAACGCUGGCGGCAGGCCUAACACAUGCAAGUCGAGCGCACUCUUCGGAGUGAGCGGCGGACGGGUUAGUAACGCGUGGGAACAUACCCUUUUCUACGGAAUAGCCUCGGGAAACUGAGAGUAAUACCGUAUACGCCCUUCGGGGGAAAGAUUUAUCGGAGAAGGAUUGGCCCGCGUUUGAUUAGAUAGUUGGUGGGGUAAUGGCCUACCAAGUCUACGAUCAAUAGCUGGUUUGAGAGGAUGAUCAGCAACACUGGGACUGAGACACGGCCCAGACUCCUACGGGAGGCAGCAGUGGGGAAUCUUAGACAAUGGGCGCAAGCCUGAUCUAGCCAUGCCGCGUGAGUGACGAAGGCCUUAGGGUCGUAAAGCUCUUUCGCCAGAGAUGAUAAUGACAGUAUCUGGUAAAGAAACCCCGGCUAACUCCGUGCCAGCAGCCGCGGUAAUACGGAGGGGGUUAGCGUUGUUCGGAAUUACUGGGCGUAAAGCGUACGUAGGCGGAUUGGAAAGUAGGGGGUGAAAUCCCGGGGCUCAACCCCGGAACUGCCUCCUAAACUAUCAGUCUAGAGUUCGAGAGAGGUGAGUGGAAUUCCAAGUGUAGAGGUGAAAUUCGUAGAUAUUUGGAGGAACACCAGUGGCGAAGGCGGCUCACUGGCUCGAUACUGACGCUGAGGUACGAAAGUGUGGGGAGCAAACAGGAUUAGAUACCCUGGUAGUCCACACCGUAAACGAUGAAUGCCAGACGUCGGGGGGCUUGCCCUUCGGUGUCACACCUAACGGAUUAAGCUUCCCGCCCUGGGG